GUGUUGUAUGAAAGAAGAGAAGGUUAGCACUCCCCUUGACAAGGAUGGAAGGAGGCCCUUGGGCCUAACAACACGCAUACGAUCGAUGUUGGGGAUCAAACCUUGCGGAUGCUAGACCAGUGUUCUGA
Small nuclear RNA from Rattus norvegicus (Norway rat), 128 nucleotides. The record is from Ensembl. NCBI's taxonomy places the organism in Eukaryota, Metazoa, Chordata, Mammalia, Rodentia, Muridae.